CCACCUGGGGAGUACGUUCGCAAGAAUGAAACUCAAAGGAAUUGACGGGGGCCCGCACAAGCGGUGGAGCAUGUGGUUUAAUUCGAUGAUACGCGAGGAACCUUACCAGGGCUUAAAUGUAGUCUGACAGGGGUGGAAACACCCUUUUCUUCGGACAGAUUACAAGGUGCUGCAUGGUUGUCGUCAGCUCGUGCCGUGAGGUGUCAGGUUAAGUCCUAUAACGAGCGCAACCCCUGUGGUUAGUUGCCAGCGAGUAAUGUCGGGAACUCUAGCCAGACUGCCGGUGCAAACCGUGAGGAAGGUGGGGAUGACGUCAAAUCAUCACGGCCCUUACGUCCUGGGCCACACACGUGCUACAAUGGUAGGGACAGAGAGCAGCCACUUCGCGAGAAGGAGCGAAUCUACAAACCCUAUCACAGUUCGGAUCGCAGUCUGCAACUCGACUGCGUGAAGCUGGAAUCGCUAGUAAUCGCAUAUCAGCCA
This 483-nucleotide ribosomal RNA is filed under the name Salegentibacter sp. Its description in RNAcentral is "bacterial SSU rRNA". It matches the Rfam family "Bacterial small subunit ribosomal RNA", at positions 869 to 1354 of the family's 1533-position model. Lineage: Bacteria; Pseudomonadati; Bacteroidota; Flavobacteriia; Flavobacteriales; Flavobacteriaceae. The record is from RNAcentral.